AUACGCAGCCAUAUCCCCCUGCAGCCCAAGACUGGUUGCCCACUGAAGCUAAGCAGGGUUGAGCCUGGUCAGUACCUGGAUGGGAGACCUCCUGGUAAAAGCUAGGUUGCUGCUAGAA
Molecule: ribosomal RNA, 118 nt
Filed under: Sinocyclocheilus rhinocerous
Lineage: Eukaryota; Metazoa; Chordata; Actinopteri; Cypriniformes; Cyprinidae
Source: RNAcentral